RNAcentral lists this small nuclear RNA (155 nucleotides) under Balaenoptera musculus (blue whale). Its description in RNAcentral is "U2 spliceosomal RNA (ENSBMSG00010002715.1)". It matches the Rfam family "U2 spliceosomal RNA". From Rfam's summary of the family: U2 is a small nuclear RNA (snRNA) component of the spliceosome (involved in pre-mRNA splicing). Complementary binding between U2 snRNA (in an area lying towards the 5' end but 3' to hairpin I) and the branchpoint sequence (BPS) of the intron results the bulging out of an unpaired adenosine, on the BPS, which initiates a nucleophilic attack at the intronic 5' splice site, thus starting the first of two transesterification reactions that mediate splicing. The record is from Rfam by way of RNAcentral. Lineage: Eukaryota; Metazoa; Chordata; Mammalia; Artiodactyla; Balaenopteridae.
AUCGCUUCUCGGCCUUUUGGCUAAGAUCAAGUGUAGUAUCUGUUCUUAUCAGUUUAAUAUAUGUCUUUCCCAGCUCCUCCCUUAAGAGAGUCAGCAGUCAGUAGGGACUAUGGAAUGUAAAAUGAUAGGAUUACCUGAGGUAAUUUUUACCGCCA